GACGAACGCUGGCGGCGUGCUUAACACAUGCAAGUCGAACGGAAAGGCCCUGCUUUUGUGGGGUGCUCGAGUGGCGAACGGGUGAGUAACACGUGAGUAACCUGCCCUUGACUUUGGGAUAACUUCAGGAAACUGGGGCUAAUACCGGCUAGGAGCUACUGCUGCAGGGUGGGGGUUGGAAAGUUUCGGCGGUUGGGGAUGGACUCGCGGCUUAUCCGCUUGUUGGUGGGGUAGUGGCUUACCAAGGCUUUGACGGGUAGCCGGCCUGAGAGGGUCACCGGCCACGUUGGGACUGAGAUACGGCCCAGACUCCUACGGGAGGCAGCAGUGGGGAAUAUUGCACUAUGGGCGGAAGCCUGAUGCAGCAACGCCGCGUGCGGGAUGACGGCCUUCGGGUUGUAUACCGCUUUCGCCUGUGACGAAGCGUGAGUGACGGUAAUGGGUAAAGAAGCACCGGCUAACUACGUG
Molecule: ribosomal RNA, 468 nt
Filed under: uncultured bacterium
Lineage: Bacteria
Description: partial 16S ribosomal RNA
Rfam family: Bacterial small subunit ribosomal RNA
Source: RNAcentral